RNAcentral lists this microRNA precursor (208 nucleotides) under Oryza barthii. Its description in RNAcentral is "MIR812 microRNA precursor family". It matches the Rfam family "MIR812 microRNA precursor family". Lineage: Eukaryota; Viridiplantae; Streptophyta; Magnoliopsida; Poales; Poaceae. The record is from Rfam by way of RNAcentral.
AAUAAGUGUGGUUUUACACUAUUUAUCUUUAACGUUUCAUCGUUUAUUUUAUUUGAAUAAAUUUUAUGAUUACUAUUUUUAUUAUUAUUAGAUGAUAAAAUAUGAAUAGUACUUUAUGUGUGACUAAUUUUUUUUAAAUUUUUAAUAAUUUUUUUAAAUAAGACGGACUGUUAAAUAUUGGACACAGAUUUUCACGUCUGUAUUUAUU